GUGCCGGUAGCCUAGUGGUCAGGCAUUCGUUUAUGGAACGAAAACGCACCCGGUUUCUCCACUCGGGCGAUGACAUUUUCACGAAUCGGCUCUGCCCCGGCACG
Molecule: transfer RNA, 104 nt
Filed under: Myxococcales bacterium
Lineage: Bacteria; Pseudomonadati; Myxococcota; Myxococcia; Myxococcales
Description: tRNA-His
Source: RNAcentral